Molecule: ribosomal RNA, 1651 nt
Filed under: Triticum aestivum (bread wheat)
Lineage: Eukaryota; Viridiplantae; Streptophyta; Magnoliopsida; Poales; Poaceae
Description: partial small subunit ribosomal RNA
Source: RNAcentral
ACGUAAACUCGACAUCAUGAAACAGGAGUUCCGCAGUGGUGUUUAUGUUCCCGUGUGUAUGUGUAUUCGUAUCCUAUUGUAUUGUGCCUAGGAGACCCGUAGUUGCACAGGACGAUGAGGUGGAGAUGGUGUGGCGGCGAGGGGAACGCCGGACGCGGGUAGCUUAGAAUCGAACCGACCGCGACCUGUUACCUAAGGCCCUCGUGCCUCUAGGAGCAACUUUUGCCGACGAAGGCUGAUAUGUUCCUGCCGGUGUAGCUGGCACAGCCUCCGUGCCUGUUGCACAGGCGGCCGAAGCUGCGGCUGUGGCCGCAGUGGAGGUCUCUGCAGCACUAGCUGCGGCAGUGGCCGCAGCGGCAAGCGGAGAUGGACGGUCUGUAGGUACGGCGACUUAGGCUGCCGUGGCUGUAGACGUGGCGGCGCCAGUGCUUCGAGGGCUAGCAGCAGAAGAAGGUGCCGCCAAUGAAGUAGCAGCCUAGACGGCCGACGGGAUUCGUGGUGGCGAUGCACUUGAGCGACCGGCGGCUGCGGGCGCGGUAGCAGCAGAGGCAGCUGAUGGCGGAGCGCGGGCUCGUGGACGAGGGCCGCCGGAUGCUGCUGAGGACCCGGCGCGAGUUGACCCGCCACAGGCCGCGGCUGCGCACCGACAGGCUCGUGCCGCUGGAGCCGGCGCAGAAGAACCGGCCGCGGUCGCGGCCGCCCUUGUAUCGGGUGUUGUACCGGUAGCGCCGGCCGCGCUCGUCGGAGAAGCGGCGCCGCUGUGCGGAUCUCCCGCGCCAGAACGAGGUGGGAAGGAAGUCGCCGCUCGUCUCCUAGCUCCGCCUCAGUCUCCUCAUGUCCCGCUCGCAGUUCUACGCCACGAGGCACUAGAAGGGGCCGCGCUCCCCGCCCGACCUGCUGGGCUCCUACUUGGGCUGCCGGCUGUCGCGCGGCUCGGACGCCUGCGACGGCACGCCCUCCUACGACCACACGCGCCGCAGCCUCCUGCGCUCCGACGGCUCCCACGCCCGCAUGAUGCUGCGGCACUUCAGGUCGCCCACCAGACCCGUUCACCUCACCAAGCUCAGCCUUCCGUUCCUCGUGCGGAAGAAGCAGCUGCUCGUACCGACGGCGCUCCGCCAACGCGAGUACCUUGCUCACCGACCAAAGUAGCGGCCGGUAAUUAUUGGCCCGAGAGUUUACAAUUCACUAAAAGGCUUUUUAUUUACACUUCAAUAAAACUGAAGUGAGUCAUAGAAUCAAUCAUAUACUUUACCUUUGACUUACCACCUUUCAAAAGAGAGUCUCGGAACAUAAAUGUUGAGUCCCGUCGCUGUCACCACGUGAUAUUUUCGAACACCUUUUAUUUUCGCGGAGAUUUAAGUUCUAAAAGGAGACUAACGAGGACUUCUUAUCGUAGGGCUGUUUUAUAUUGAACUGAUCUUUUCCUACCUGUUCUUUACUCGUUACAGUUAAAACGAAACUCCUACUUUUGAGGACUGUCACCAUAAUAACACACGAAACUUGGAGGCUUUUGAGGACUAUGUCUCCUACACAAACGCCCAGCCUAGAGAAGGAAAAAGUCAUUUCGUUACGUUCGACUACGAAACAAAGCUGUAGUUAAAGGAUGACUAGGACGAUCACAACGAAAAUGCUACACAUUAAUAUAGUU